RNAcentral lists this ribosomal RNA (1947 nucleotides) under Triticum aestivum (bread wheat). RNAcentral describes it as "partial small subunit ribosomal RNA". The record is from RNAcentral. Lineage: Eukaryota; Viridiplantae; Streptophyta; Magnoliopsida; Poales; Poaceae.
UCCGCGUUUCAAGGUGGGGUUUGUCUACAACUUCCCUUUGUAUUGGGAUCGAAUGCUCCGUGAGGGGUGGGUUGGGAGCAAGAGGACCAUAUCGCCGCCGACCAACGAGGGGAAAGCGAGGCCGACGUUAGAGUAGAGCUAGAGGCUGAGACUAGCUGAGGUUGGAGUGGAAGGGGUGUAUUUAGGUAGGUGUGUGGGUUCCGCCUCUCCUCCCGGUUGGCUAGACCCUAGCUAGGUGUGUGGCCUCUCCUUCUCGAACUACCGUGAGCUAGACGUUAGGUACCUGUAGCCGGACCGACGAGAACGACGAAGAAUGGAGCCGCCCCUCCUUCGGCAGUUCUUCGGACUGUCGUCAGGUAGGCGUCCUCUCCCUUUCCAUAACUAAAAGGCGUCCGCGGGUUAGUGUGUCCUAAGGGGCAGGAACUUAGGGGGACGAAUACCGAUGGGGCUGCCGCCACCGCUGGUCGGUUCGAAGCAGAACUAGCUCGGUAUGCGGAAGAAACGGCUGGCGGCGUUGCGGUGGUGGCGGCUGACGCCGAACCUCCCAGAGGCAGAGGCCCCAUUGUAGCUCCAGUGGAAGACGUGGCGGGUUGGUGGCGUCCAGAGGAUGGAUACGAAGGUGCAGUGGCGGAUGCUGGUGUUGCACAAGCGGUGGGCCGGAUCGUAUCAGCGGUGUCUCUGACUGCCACCCGAGCAGGAGGAUACGCAGCAUCAGCCACUAACGGGUAGGCUACGCAACAUAGCGCCGUUAGCUGUGAUGAAGCAGAUGCUGCGGUCACAAGGGCUCGAGUUCGUGUAGUUCGUCGGGCCGUUGCUGGUGGGUCUCGAUUACCCAAGUCUAUACCGUUAGGAAGAGUGGAGACGGAGAUACUGGUACUAUGGUUGAGGACCUCGUUCGACGGUCACUUACAGCUAAGUCAGGGGCUGCGGCUGCUCAAGUAGUGUAUGUUCCGUUAGUGUUAGCCUCCACUACUUCCUUGUCACCGGACCCAACUAGAGAGCGUAUACUAGUAGAAGACGUUGCACGACCUGUUUGUGGGGUUCGGAGUAAAGAAUUCUGACGGAUCGUUACGUUGAGCUAGCGGGCGACAAGCCCUGCAAAGUCAGGAAUUACCGAAGUAGUUCUACCAGCUCGACCUCGUGGCACGAUAACCAACCUUCCGGUGUUAUACCUCGUAGUUCUGACCGUAGAAGAGGUUUCGCGUAACCUCACAGCUAACGGUCAAGCUAAGGAGACGAUAUGGACUUGGCGGCGACGGAUUCGACUUCCAGGCACUUCCACAGUGUCGAGUCGGAUGGAACAACUGAGAGGUAGAUACAAAAAUUCAGCCAUUCCGCUAGAUUCCGCGACCCCCCCGCGGAAUAGCGGAUCCGCUGCGGAUUCGCGGAUUCCGCCUGCGGAUUCGCGGAUUCCGCCCGUAUAAACAUUCCGCGACCGCCCCGCGGAAUAGCGGAUUCGCAGCGGAUUCGCAGGUUCCGCCCUGCGGAAUUUUUGUCUCGAGAGGUAUAACCGGACGGGUUCGACUCGGACGUUCUACUAACGUAAGAAAUGAAUGAUCGAUUCUAACUGAUGGCGCUGUCCGUCGUGUGUAGUACCCACGAACGACAACUGUACUUCUUGUUGUGACAGGUCUCUCACCGACUCAAAUCGGGGUUCUCCCGAUAACCAAAUCGGUCCCCGAUGCUAAGUUCAUGCUAGAGGUUUAUAGAGUUUCAACCAGGUCCCUUUCCGCACGUUCUUCGACUCGUCACUGGCCUCUACUGCGGUACCACUAAUUGUUCACCUUCCUCAAACGUACACUCGACUUGACCUCAUAUACUGGACUUUUAUUACGUACACGUAACUACCUCCCACAGAGUCCUGAUAGGAAGCAAACAGACAAAGAUCUGGAAAAAAUAAUUAUACAUAGGUAGAGCAGAUAUAACGGAGUUGUGGCUGAGAACAGC